This 445-nucleotide ribosomal RNA is filed under the name uncultured bacterium. RNAcentral's name for it is "partial 16S ribosomal RNA". It matches the Rfam family "Bacterial small subunit ribosomal RNA", at positions 354 to 796 of the family's 1533-position model. The record is from RNAcentral.
GUGAGGAAUAUUGGUCAAUGGACGAGAGUCUGAACCAGCCAAGUCGCGUGAAGGAAGACGGUUCUAUGAAUUGUAAACUUCUUUUGUGCAGGAAUAAAGUGGGUUACGUGUAACCUUUUGUAUGUACUGUACGAAUAAGGAUCGGCUAACUCCGUGCCAGCAGCCGCGGUAAUACGGAGGAUCCGAGCGUUAUCCGGAUUUAUUGGGUUUAAAGGGUGCGUAGGUGGAUUGAUAAGUCAGCGGUGAAAGUUUGCAGCUUAACUGUAAAAUUGCCGUUGAAACUGUCGGUCUUGAGUGCAAAUGAGGUAGGCGGAAUGUGUUGUGUAGCGGUGAAAUGCUUAGAUAUAACACAGAACUCCGAUUGCGAAGGCAGCUUACUGGGAUGCAGCUGACACUGAUGCACGAAAGCGUGGGUAUCAAACAGGAUUAGAUACCCGUGUAGUCC